RNAcentral lists this ribosomal RNA (253 nucleotides) under uncultured bacterium. RNAcentral's name for it is "partial 16S ribosomal RNA". It matches the Rfam family "Bacterial small subunit ribosomal RNA", at positions 524 to 776 of the family's 1533-position model. The record is from RNAcentral.
UACGGGGGGGGCAAGCGUUGCUCGGAAUCACUGGGCGUAAAGGGUGCGUAGGCGGGUCUUUAAGUCAGGGGUGAAAUCCUGGAGCUCAACUCCAGAACUGCCUUUGAUACUGAAGAUCUUGAGUCCGGGAGAGGUGAGUGGAACUGCGAGUGUAGAGGUGAAAUUCGUAGAUAUUCGCAAGAACACCAGUGGCGAAGGCGGCUCACUGGCCCGGUACUGACGCUGAGGUGCGAAAGCGUGGGGAGCAAACAGG